This 228-nucleotide ribosomal RNA is filed under the name uncultured bacterium. Its description in RNAcentral is "partial 16S ribosomal RNA". It matches the Rfam family "Bacterial small subunit ribosomal RNA", at positions 568 to 795 of the family's 1533-position model. The record is from RNAcentral.
AGUGUAGGCGGUUACUUAAGUCGGAUGUGAAAUCCCCGGGCUCAACCUGGGAAUUGCAUUCGAUACUGGGUAGCUAGAGUUUGGUAGAGGUAAGUGGAAUUCCGGGUGUAGCGGUGAAAUGCGUAGAUAUCCGGAGGAACAUCAGUGGCGAAGGCGGCUUACUGGACCAAAACUGACGCUGAGGCUCGAAAGCGUGGGGAGCAAACAGGAUUAGAUACCCUGGUAGUC